This is a long non-coding RNA of Drosophila gunungcola (fruit fly), 4131 nucleotides long. RefSeq lists it as uncharacterized. The record is from RefSeq and is a predicted model, not a curated record. NCBI's taxonomy places the organism in Eukaryota, Metazoa, Arthropoda, Insecta, Diptera, Drosophilidae. The transcript has 4 exons.
CCGGCAUAGAAGCCCAAAGUCUGGGCAUGAGAUAUAAACCAUGUGAAGAAGCUUGCAUGCACAAAGAAGCUCGAUUUAUUGGUGCCACACGAGUUCAUGCAGAAAAAAAAGUUUGACCGUAUCGACGCCUGCGAAUGAAGCGGUUGGUGACUGGGGAUGAUAAACGUGAAGCGCAAACUGUCGUGGUGAAACGGCCCAGACGGUAGCCAAGCCCGGACUGACGGCCAGGAAGGUUCUGCUGUGUGUUUGGUGGGAUUGGCAGGGUUAUGGUUAAACGCUCAAUUGGGACCUGUACCGCCAGCAAUGGGACCGCUUAACCCAUUCGACCCCGAAGCUGCCUGUGAGCAAUUUCAAAAGUUUAACGGCUAUCGGUAGUCGGUGCUUUUGUUUUUGUCUGCUUAUUCUUCGAGAUAACGGUGCUUUGAUGUGUAUACUUAGAAUGUAAGCAAAAAAAUUCUAGUUUGCGCAUCAUUUGACGAAAUUAUUUGGAAUGUGCUGGACGUGCCUCGCGUAAAAAGUGAUUGUUGUAUUGUGAGGUAUAUUGAAAAGAAAGUGAUUUACUUUUUAAUUACGCAUUAAAAGUUGAAGAAUCUGAGGAAUUUUCAAAGUAAUAAAGUUGCUUGUGAGCAACCUUGGGCCAUUGCACCACCAAAAUAUGAGACCAAAAGAAAAAGGUUUAUCAAAUGAUGAUAUUGAGAGAAUUGUCAACUUCGAUUGGGAUGUCUCCAGUGACGAAGAAAGUGGUGAUGAAAUGGAAGACAUCUCUGGAAUGUUGGAGAAUAAUUUAAAAAGUAUAUUGGAAAGGGGAGAAUCAAUAGAAUUUGAGCAUAUUGAAAAUUUGAUUGAUGAAAAAGCAUUCAAGAAAAUAGUGUUGUGGCUGAUAAUUGCUUUGAAAAAGUUGAUCCCAAAACACUUAAGUGGAGAAAUAGGCCAUUUCAAGCUCCAGGGUGUAUUUGGGAAGAAGAUAGUAAUCGCCAAAUCGAUGAAGUGAAGACCCCUGUAGAGUAUUUCUGCAGCUUUUUUCACAAUAAUGUUAUUGAUUUAAUUACAAAUCAAACUAAUUUGUAUGGGUUGCAAGAGCACGGCAUAGAGCUGCAAUGUACUGGAGAUCAAAUAAAAGGUAUAUCGGAAUUUUAUUGUACUUGGGUGUCAUAAAAGUACCUCAAUUUAAAAUGGCUUGGUCAAAAGAAUACAAGCUUUCUGCUAUAUCGGAUGCAAUGCCACGAGGAAAGUUUGAAAAAAUCAAACAAUGUUUACAUUUCAACGAUAAUACAAAACAACUAAAAAAAGGUGAUUUGAACUAUGAUAAACUGUACAAAAUACGCCCUUUACUUGACAUUCUCAAAAAAAGUUUUGGUAAACUACCCCAAGAAGAACAUCAAAGCGUUGAUGAGCAAAUCAUUGCGUACAAAGGCCAAUCGUCUUAUAAGCAAUACAACCCAGCUAAGCCUCACAAAUGGGGUUUAAAAAUGUUUACGCGCGCUGGAACAUCUGGAUUAGUUUAUGACUUCACACUGUAUGUUGGCGAAGGCACUUGCCCAAACUUUGGAUUGGGAAUAUCUUCAGAUGUGGUAUUAUACUUAUCAAAAGGUCUUCCCAAAGGCAAACCUUUCAAGCUGUAUUUUGACAAUUGGUUUACGUCAGUUAGUCUCUUGGUUGCAUUGAAGGAAAAUGGCAUAUUUGCAACCGGAACUAUCCGCAAAAACCGCAUAAGCAGCUGUAGACUUCUUUCAGAUGCAGAAUUGAAAAAACGUGGAGAGGAUCAUUUGAUACAAAAUAUGAAGUAAACAAUAAUCUGAUAUGCGUCAAAUGGUUUGAUAAUAAGUCGGUUCAACUACUAUCUUCGUAUGAAGACCAUCAGCCAGUUGGAAUGUGCAAACGAUGGAGUCCUAAAGAAAAAGUUUACAUUGAUGUUGUAAGGCCUGCUAUCGUAGGCUCUUAUAACAAGGGUAUGGGAGGAGUAGACUUAGCGGACAUGCUUAUGGAGCUAUAUAAAAUAAACCACCGUUCAAGAAAGUGGUACAUUAGAAUUUUUUAUUGGUGCUUGGGAACAUCAAUGACAAAUGCAUGGCUGCUGUAUAGAAAAAAUUUUCAUUUUCUAAACCCAAAUCAAAAGUAUAUACCGCUCAUCAAAUUUCAAAUGGAAGUUGCUCAUGAGCUGCUACAAUGUACUUACUCUACUUCAUUUGAAAAAAAGAGGGGUCGGCCAUCAAAUAUGCAAAGAGAAAACUCAAUAAUAUCUUUGGGUUCUCCAACUAGCAGUGUGUCUUCCAAUCAAUCCAAAAAAUACAAGUUUCAGCCAAAUCCUACAAAUUCUAUGCGUUACGAUUGCAUGGAACAUUGGGUGGUAUUUACUGAAAAAGGGCGUUGCAGACUGUGUAAGACAGGAACCCCAAUGUCAAAAUGUAUUAAAUGUAAAGUACACCUAUGCUGUAACAACCAUUAAAAUUGUUUUAUGUCUUACCAUACUUAAAAAUUGAAAAUAAACAAAAAUAACCAUCAACUAAAAAUGUAUUCUUUAAUAUACACUAUGGCCCAACGUUGCCCACAAGCAACAUCCGGUAGCGCCCAAACUAGUGGGGGUGGGGAGUUCAAACUUUACUCAAAUACUGCUUGGCCCAAUACAAACAGAAUACAAAAAAAAAAAUAUUUUUUUUUCGACAGGGAAAAAGUUGGGGUCGAAAGGGUUAAAGGCAGCAUUUAUGCAAAACAUCCAUCUUUGAUCAACAGAGACCGAGUUGUCUUCCAUCAGUACAAUGCCAGGCAAUACACAUUUUGAUGACGCUCCAGAACCUCCGGGAGCUCAUAUCGGAGGUUCUUUUGCAUAACCACCUGUUUCCGGGAGCUCAUAUCGGAGGUUCUUUUGCAUAACCACCUGUUUCCGUUCAUGCCGAACGAGCUUGAUAAUCGGAGUUUGAACACAGAAAAUACCUGUGAAAAUUUGUUCUACAAAUUUUUGGCAAUAGGCAAGCUAACUUCUAUAAGAGGCGCAUUUUGAAAUUAGCAUUUGGUUGAUACAAGUCAUUAAACAAAACGGCGCAUAUUUCACCUUAAUAGCAAGAUUGUAACCAAUUUUAUAAAUGAUUGAGAAUUAAACAAAAAUACCGCUGAACAUUUUGACACCCUUGUAUUUAGUGGGGUCUAAAAGGUUUUAAUUAUGACCUGAUGUAGUCAAGUGAGACGAGCAUAGAUGACAACAAUUGUUUCGUUUGAAGAUAGUUUUUGCCGAAAAACAACCAGAGCAAGCGACCAGACACGAGUACAUAAUUUUUCAUCAUGUAGUCAUGAUAUUCAUAUUUCUACACCGGUUGAAAAAACAAUUUGGAUCAACUCUGUGGCCAACUUUCCAGUUAUUGAUUUCGAAAUCACAGCCGUAUAGUCCAGACAUUGCCCCUUCUUUUUAGCACUUAUAUAAAAAUCCCUAUCGGUAAAUCGGUUCCCUUUAAAACAAGGUAUCAAACAUUGGAUAAAAUAUUUUGGCACGGAAUUUUUUUUAACGUUGUCGAUCGGACGACUAUAUCAUACAGCUUCAGGGUUGGGAUGUACAUAGAUAGUUGUACCUAGGUAUGCACCUAGAUAAUUGAUAUCCAUCACAAGACUGCGAUAUUAUUAAAACAGCGGAUUGCCGGAGUUAUCUUCCGUUCUUAAUUUAAUUAAUUAUUUUUUUCAGUUUUGUAUAUCAGCUGUAUUAUAGUUUUCUGAUCUGGCCGUUCCAAUACACAACUUGCAAUAAGAAUGGGUCUUCUGGGAAAAUGUUAUUAAGAUGGAUUUUAAUCUGAGACACUAUUAGAUCGACUGGUAAUGCUGUCUCCUUUACUUCGUUGCAAACAUCUGACUGAAGUUUUAAUACCGCCCUGCACACAGGAUCCAUGUAUUUUGGGGUACUGGUUUCGAAAAAAAGUCAAAGUUGGCGACAAUUGCCAUACUUAACAAAAGUUGGAGAUCAAGUUGCAACCAAAUUUGUAUGUUUAGCUGCUUAUUGCGUAAAGCUGAUACUUUACGAAAAAAAAUCCAAAAACGGUUGCCUUCAAUCCGCCCUUUUUUAAGUGACCGCUCAAUAAUCUGGACCGGUCUGGCAUCACCAAACUCUUAUCGAUAUUUAACAACACCAGGGACCGAAAUGAUUAAUAG